GGGACAACCCGCCGAAAGGCGGGCUAAACCCGCGUACAUGCCACCGGGGCAUCCCGGAGGCAGGAAAGGCUUCGGCCGGACAGGGAUGGGCAUGCGGCGCAUUAGGCAGUAGGCGGGGUAACGGCCCACCUAACCGACGAUGCGUAGGGGUUCUGAGAGGAAGGUCCCCCACACUGGUACUGAGACACGGACCAGACUCCUACGGGAGGCAGCAGUGAGGAAUAUUGGUCAAUGGUCGGGAGACUGAACCAGCCAAGCCGCGUGAGGGAGGAAGGUACAGAGUAUCGUAAACCUCUUUUGUCAGGGAACAAAGACUGGGACGCGUCCCCGGAUGAGUGUACCUGAAGAAAAAGCAUCGGCUAACUCCGUGCCAGCAGCCGCGGUAAUACGGAGGAUGCGAGCGUUAUCCGGAUUUAUUGGGUUUAAAGGGUGCGCAGGCGGUCUGUUAAGUCAGCGGUCAAAGCCCGGGGCUCAACCCCGGCCCGCCGUUGAAACUGGCAGUCUCGAGUUGGAGAGAAGUAUGCGGAAUGCGCGGUGUAGCGGUGAAAUGCAUAGAUAUCGCGCAGAACUCCGAUUGCGAAGGCAGCAUGCCGGCUCCACACUGACGCUGAGGCACGAAAGCGUGGGUAUCGAACAGGAUUAGAUACCCUGGUAGUCCACGCAGUAAACGAUGAAUAAUGGCUGUCCG
Molecule: ribosomal RNA, 688 nt
Filed under: uncultured bacterium
Lineage: Bacteria
Description: bacterial SSU rRNA
Rfam family: Bacterial small subunit ribosomal RNA
Source: RNAcentral